CCUGGAUAUCCGGAUUUUUGCCUGUCCCCUGUCUGCAGCCCCGACAGACGCAGCGGAUCUCCUCACUGUUAUUGCAGUACAGGAAUUCUGCCGGCUCGCUCCAAUUUCUCCCGCCGGCUAGCGGGCUACGAGACC
Melanotaenia boesemani (Boeseman's rainbowfish) is the source of this 135-nucleotide long non-coding RNA. RefSeq lists it as uncharacterized. Lineage: Eukaryota; Metazoa; Chordata; Actinopteri; Atheriniformes; Melanotaeniidae. The transcript is spliced from 3 exons. The record is from RefSeq and is a predicted model, not a curated record.